This 566-nucleotide long non-coding RNA is filed under the name Setaria viridis. RNAcentral describes it as "long non-coding RNA (SVIR_LNC005553)". The record is from RNAcentral. Lineage: Eukaryota; Viridiplantae; Streptophyta; Magnoliopsida; Poales; Poaceae.
GGCAACCUACCAAGGGGUAUCCUAAGGUAGGAGAUUGGUUGGUGGGGGAUCAUCGAACUUGAAACUCGAAGGUAAAAGCGAGGACACAAGACACAUAUUUAUAUAGGUUCGAGCCGCCAGAGUAGCGUAAUACCUAUGUCCUGUUUGGGGUAUUGUAUAUUGCGCCCUGCGCCUGGGUGUUGUUUGGUGUUGAGGAUUUGGUCCUCUGUUGUGGUUGUUGUGGUUCUAUGAGGCCUUUUUCUACCGAUCUAGGGACCUCUUCCCUCCUUUAUACACUCAGGGAGUGGGAUUACUAGUUGCUUACAAGGUAGGAAUCUCAGUAGGAUUAUAUGGUAUGAGUGCUAGUAGGAUUACAAAGGAAUCCUAGUAGGAGUCCGUUUUCUUCCUUGCUUGUGGGUACUGGGAAUCUAUCCCCGACAAGCCCUUCAAGCGCGUCAUAGUCGAAAGCAACAGCCUUGAGUACUUUUUAGGUCCUUGCUGAGUAGUUUUGGUGCUCUUUGAUUACUUCAUCUAGCUGAAUCUUCAAAGUUACUCAAAGCUGCCAUGAGGCUAUGGUGUGCUCAAGC